UGGGGAAUAUUGCACAAUGGGCGGAAGCCUGAUGCAGCGACGCCGCGUGGGGGAUGACGGCCUUCGGGUUGUAAACCUCUUUCAGUGCAGAACAAGGCUCUUUGUGGGUUGAGGGUAUGCGCAGAAGAAGCGCCGGCUAACUACGUGCCAGCAGCCGCGGUAACACGUAGGGCGCGAGCGUUGUCCGGAUUUAUUGGGCGUAAAGAGCUCGUAGGCGGUUUGUCGCGUCUGCUGUGAAAUCCUCUGGCUUAACUGGGGGCGUGCAGUGGGUACGGGAAGACUGGGGGGCGGUAGGGGAGACUGGAAUUCCGGGUGUAGGGGGGGAAUGCGCAGAUAUCAGGAGGAACACCGGGGGCGAGGGCGGGUCUCGGGGC
This 374-nucleotide ribosomal RNA is filed under the name uncultured bacterium. Its description in RNAcentral is "partial 16S ribosomal RNA". It matches the Rfam family "Bacterial small subunit ribosomal RNA", at positions 355 to 734 of the family's 1533-position model. The record is from RNAcentral.